RNAcentral lists this ribosomal RNA (617 nucleotides) under Chrysiptera rollandi (Rolland's demoiselle). RNAcentral describes it as "partial 16S ribosomal RNA". It matches the Rfam family "Bacterial large subunit ribosomal RNA", at positions 1797 to 2613 of the family's 2925-position model. Lineage: Eukaryota; Metazoa; Chordata; Actinopteri; Pomacentridae. The record is from RNAcentral.
CGCCUGUUUAUCAAAAACAUCGCCUCUUGAUAAAACAAUAUAAGAGGUCCCGCCUGCCCAGUGACCACAUGUUCAACGGCCGCGGUACUUUGACCGUGCGAAGGUAGCGCAAUCACUUGUCUUUUAAAUGAAGACCUGUAUGAAUGGCACGACGAGGGCUUAACUGUCUCCUAUUUCUAGUCAAUGAAAUUGAUCCCCCCGUGCAGAAGCGGGGAUAACAUCAUAAGACGAGAAGACCCUGUGGAGCUUUAGACACUAAAUCAGCCCCUGUUAAACACCCCCCUCCAAAGGGCCAAACACUAUGGGCGCCCUGAUCUGAUGUCUUCGGUUGGGGCGACCCCGGGGAAAGAAAAAACCCCCGCGUGGAACAGGAGUAUUACACUCCCAAAACUGAGGGCCACCACUCAAAGUAUCAGAAAUUCUGACCAAUUACGUGAUCCAGCUUCACGCCGAUCAACGGACCAAGUUACCCCAGGGAUAACAGCGCAAUCCUCUUUUAGAGCCCAUAUCGACAAGAGGGUUUACGACCUCGAUGUUGGAUCAGGACAUCCUAAUGGUGCAGCCGCUAUUAAGGGUUCGUUUGUUCAACGAUUAAAGUCCUACGUGAUCUGAGUUCA